CAAUAGCGUAUAUUAAAGUUGUUGCGGUUAAAAAGCUCGUAGUUGGAUUUCUGGUUGAGGCGCCUGGCCCGCCCGAGUUAUCGGAGUGAGUGCUGGUGUGUCUUUGCCAUCCUUGUUGAGACGGCGGCUGGCAUUUAUUUGUCGGUUGUCGAAUCUUCAUCAUUUACUUUGAACAAAAUAACGUGUUUCAAGCAGGCUUUAUGCCAUGAAUACUACAGCAUGGAAUAAUAAUUUAGGGCUCUCGCCCCAUUUUGUUGGUUUCUGGUUUGAGAGUAAUGAUUGAUAGGGGCAGUUGGGGGUGCUGGUAUUUCGCGGCCAGAGGUGAAAUUCAUGGAUUCGCGAAAGACCAACCUAAGCGAAAGCAUUCACCAAGGAUGUUUCCUUAAUCAAGAACGAAAGUUGGGGGAUCGAAGACGAUCAGAUACCAU
Molecule: ribosomal RNA, 428 nt
Filed under: uncultured eukaryote
Lineage: Eukaryota
Description: bacterial SSU rRNA
Rfam family: Eukaryotic small subunit ribosomal RNA
Source: RNAcentral